This 562-nucleotide long non-coding RNA is filed under the name Homo sapiens (human). RNAcentral's name for it is "non-protein coding LINC02217:27". The record is from RNAcentral. Lineage: Eukaryota; Metazoa; Chordata; Mammalia; Primates; Hominidae.
ACAGAAAUGAAUACUUUCAGACUAGGUUUGAAGGACUGAGUAGGAGUAAACUAAAAGAGAAAAAGCAGGACAAAAGAAGCACCACUUUGGAAGCUCAAAGCCGCACUGGAAACACAGUCUUUCAGGAUGUCUGAAAGGGGCAAGUCUGUUUGUGUGGGGCUGGGGAGCUGUGCUUUGGAAAAGCAAUGAGGAGGUAACAGGAAGUCUCUUCUCCUUCUAAAUCCUGUGUUCAUGGAGGAGGGUGGGUUUUCUCCUCUUGAGAGGGAGUUACAUACAAGUUUAAGGGAAAAGAGUCUGAAGUUUCCACCUAAAUGAUUCUGAAAGAAUCAGAUAUACAGGGAGUCCACGGAGCCUCCCCUGCAAGCAUCAGUACAGAAGUCGAUGAUAAUCUGGAUGCAAGCCCAGGAGUGUGGAGUCCACUGACUCAGAAGACCUGCAUCUAAGGAAUUGGCUGUUCUUAUCCUUAAGAAUGAUGACUGUGUUUCCAAUUCCAGUAGACCCUUUGAUGCGUUCUGAAUAAAUAUUCCUUUUGGAAUUGAACUUCUAGAGCCCUUAACUUUGG